Trichophyton benhamiae CBS 112371 is the source of this 295-nucleotide non-coding RNA. The record is from Rfam. Lineage: Eukaryota; Fungi; Ascomycota; Eurotiomycetes; Onygenales; Arthrodermataceae.
CUUCGUCUACCUGCUGGGGACAGAUGAAGUGGACGUGGGUAUCGAUGCCGCCGGCCGUGACGAUCAUCCUCUCGGCGGCGAUGAUGUCGGUAGAUGAGCCGAUGACCAUUCCGGGGGUGAUGCCAUCCAUGACAUCUGGGUUCCCAGCUUUGCCGAUUCCGACGAUGAUGCCGUCCUUGAUCCCGAUGUCCGCCUUGUAGAUGCCGGACCAGUCGAGGAUGACGGCGUUGGUAACGCAGCUGUCGAGCACCUCAUGGGCAUGUCUGCCGGUGGCCUGUCCCAUGCCUUCUCUCAG